CCCUGACAUCCUAGAGCAGUACUAUUUCAGUUCACAUCUGCUGCUUCUGAUCAAAACACUGUCUUGUACUUCCUGAGAGAGCGAGCACUUCCUGCCAGGUGUCCCCUUGUGCCCGCUGUGUGGCUGUGGGGUUCAGUGUCUUUCACGCAUGCUAGCAUGGCACUUGGUGCCUUAUUUGCAGGCCAUGAGAUAGAACCCACACUUUUGCCUCCAGAAGCUCUUGUGGGUGGGAUUGUGCAUUAGAUAGCAAGAGUCCACCCACACAUUUUC
This 270-nucleotide long non-coding RNA is filed under the name Bos taurus (domestic cattle). Its description in RNAcentral is "long non-coding RNA NONBTAT026842". Lineage: Eukaryota; Metazoa; Chordata; Mammalia; Artiodactyla; Bovidae. The record is from RNAcentral.